GCCUUAUGGUUGUAAAGCACUUUAAGCGAGGAGGNNGCUNCNUUAGUUAAUACCUAGAGAUAGUGNNNNNUACUCGCNNNNUNAGCACCGGCUAACUCUGUGCCAGCAGCCGCGGUAAUACAGAGGGUGCGAGCGUUAAUCGGAUUUACUGGGCGUAAAGCGUGCGUAGGCGGCUUAUUAAGUCGGAUGUGAAAUCCCCGAGCUUAACUUGGGAAUUGCAUUCGAUACUGGUGAGCUAGAGUAUGGGAGAGGAUGGUAGAAUUCCAGGUGUAGCGGUGAAAUGCGUAGAGAUCUGGAGGAAUACCGAUGGCGAANGCAGCCAUCUGGCCUAAUACUGACGCUGAGGUACGAAAGCAUGGGGAGCAAACAGGAUUAGAUACCCUGGUAGUCCAUGCCGUAAACGAUGUCUACUAGCCGUUGGGGCCUUUGAGGCUUUAGUGGCGCAGCUAACGCGAUAAGUAGACCGCCUGGGGAGUACGGUCGCAAGACUAAAACUCAAAUGAAUUGACGGGGGCCCGCACAAGCGGUGGAGCAUGUGGUUUAAUUCGAUGCAACGCGAAGAACCUUACCUGGCCUUGACAUACUAGAAACUUUCCAGAGAUGGAUUGGUGCCUUCGGGAAUCUAGAUACAGGUGCUGCAUGGCUGUCGUCAGCUCGUGUCGUGAGAUGUUGGGUUAAGUCCCGCAACGAGCGCAACCCUUUUCCUUACUUGCCAGCAUUUCGGAUGGGAACUUUAAGGAUACUGCCAGU
This 750-nucleotide ribosomal RNA is filed under the name Acinetobacter baumannii. RNAcentral's name for it is "bacterial SSU rRNA". It matches the Rfam family "Bacterial small subunit ribosomal RNA", at positions 414 to 1156 of the family's 1533-position model. Lineage: Bacteria; Pseudomonadati; Pseudomonadota; Gammaproteobacteria; Moraxellales; Moraxellaceae. The record is from RNAcentral.